RNAcentral lists this non-coding RNA (46 nucleotides) under Trichobilharzia regenti. The record is from RNAcentral. Lineage: Eukaryota; Metazoa; Platyhelminthes; Trematoda; Strigeidida; Schistosomatidae.
GUACUGAUGAGGUGUCCCAAACUAGGACGAAACAGCUGUCCAGUAC